GAUGAACGCUGGCGGCGUGCUUAACACAUGCAAGUCGAGCGAGUGAGUUCUUCGGAACGAUCUAGCGGCGGACGGGUGAGUAACACGUGGGCAACCUGCCUCAUAGAAGGGAAUAGCCUCCCGAAAGGGAGAUUAAUACCGCAUAAAAUUAUCGAGUGGCAUCACAUGAUAAUCAAAGGAGUAAUCCGCUAUGAGAUGGGCCCGCGGCGCAUUAGCUAGUUGGUGAGGUAACGGCUCACCAAGGCGAAGAUGCGUAGCCGACCUGAGAGGGUGAUCGGCCACAUUGGGACUGAGACACGGCCCAGACUCCUACGGGAGGCAGCAGUGGGGAAUAUUGCACAAUGGGGGAAACCCUGAUGCAGCAACGCCGCGUGAGUGAUGAAGGUCUUCGGAUUGUAAAGCUCUGUCUUCGGGGACGAUAAUGACAGUACCCAAGGAGGGAGCCACGGCUAACUACGUGCCAGCAGCCGCAGUAA
This 476-nucleotide ribosomal RNA is filed under the name uncultured bacterium. RNAcentral describes it as "partial 16S ribosomal RNA". It matches the Rfam family "Bacterial small subunit ribosomal RNA", at positions 28 to 523 of the family's 1533-position model. The record is from RNAcentral.